GGUUAAUUCCUUCUUUGAUUCCCUCAUUCUAUAAGUUCCUCAAUUUCAUCUCUAAUUUUCUUUCCAUGGAGAUCAAACCCACCUCAGAUAUCCAUCUUCCUCCUGGAUUUAGAUUCCAUCCAUCGGAUGAGGAGCUUAUAGUCCACUACUUGAAGAACAAAGUAGCUUCAAGUCCUCUUCCAGCUUCUAUUAUUGCUGACUUAGAUCUCUACAAGUACAAUCCAUGG
This 227-nucleotide unclassified non-coding RNA is filed under the name Hevea brasiliensis (rubber tree). Lineage: Eukaryota; Viridiplantae; Streptophyta; Magnoliopsida; Malpighiales; Euphorbiaceae. The record is from RNAcentral.